Molecule: ribosomal RNA, 224 nt
Filed under: Bacillus sp. DIT 12
Lineage: Bacteria; Bacillati; Bacillota; Bacilli; Caryophanales; Bacillaceae
Description: partial 16S ribosomal RNA
Rfam family: Bacterial small subunit ribosomal RNA
Source: RNAcentral
UAGGGGGUUUCCGCCCCUUAGUGCUGCAGCUAACGCAUUAAGCACUCCGCCUGGGGAGUACGGUCGCAAGACUGAAACUCAAAGGAAUUGACGGGGGGCCCGCACAAGCGGUGGAGCAUGUGGUUUAAUUCGAAGCAACGCGAAGAACCUUACCAGGUCUUGACAUCCUCUGACAAUCCUAGAUCCCUGAUGUUAGCGGCGGGGGCAGAGUGACAGGUGGUGCA